GACGAACGCUGGCGGCGUGCUUAACACAUGCAAGUCGAACGGAAAGGCCCUGCUUUUGUGGGGUGCUCGAGUGGCGAACGGGUGAGUAACACGUGAGUAACCUGCCCUUGACUUUGGGAUAACUUCAGGAAACUGGGGCUAAUACCGGAUAGGAGCUCCUGCUGCAUGGUGGGGGUUGGAAAGUUUCGGCGGUUGGGUAUGGACUCGCGGCUUAUCAGCUUGUUGGUGGGGUAGUGGCUUACGAAGGCUUUGACGGGUAGCCGGCCUGAGAGGGUGACCGGCCACAUUGGGACUGAGAUACGGACCAGACUGCUACGGGAGGCAGCAGGGGGGAAUAUUGCAGAAUGGGCGGAAGCCUGAUGCAGCAACGCCGCGUGCGGGAUGACGGCCUUCGGGUUGUAAACCGCUUUCGCCUGUGACGAAGAGUGAGUGACGGUAAUGGGUAAAGAAGCACCGGCUAACUACGUG
Molecule: ribosomal RNA, 468 nt
Filed under: uncultured bacterium
Lineage: Bacteria
Description: partial 16S ribosomal RNA
Rfam family: Bacterial small subunit ribosomal RNA
Source: RNAcentral